Long non-coding RNA from Sphaerodactylus townsendi, 1117 nucleotides. RefSeq lists it as uncharacterized. NCBI's taxonomy places the organism in Eukaryota, Metazoa, Chordata, Lepidosauria, Squamata, Sphaerodactylidae. The record is from RefSeq and is a predicted model, not a curated record. The transcript has 7 exons.
ACCAUGCAGCCUGGCCUGCUACUGCUUCAUUCAUUCAGAUCAUUGCCGGAGGAGCAGCUUAGAAGCUCGGCUAUGGUGUCCUGGGAUCAGAUAGUUGAGGCUUGCAGUAGGAAGAUGUGAUUCCCCUCAAUAUCCUUAAGGAACAGGCUGGGCAGUAUGUAUCUUUUGCAUCAAGCUCUCCAAAUAUUUUUGCCGCAAAAACAUCAUGUAAGAUCAUUUGAAGCACAUCAUCUUUUCUACCAAAGAACUAUUUUGGAUUAUAUAAUCGGGAAGAAAAUAGGAGAGUUGCUGUCAUCUUUUUUAUUGGUUUGAAGACUCCAUGUGCUCCUGACAUUGAGAUUUUAAGUGACUUCUGGUCGAUUCAUAUUGUUUUGUUACAACAGUCCGGUAGAAAGCAAGUACCAACAGUGGGGCCAAAAGCAGCACAUUCAUUUGAAAUGUGCUUGCUUUAAAAUGACUCCUGAAUUGUGAUGAGCUUCUUGCAUAGAUGGGGAACUGAUGAUGAAAUAAGUUUAUGUGUCCAAGGUCAUAAAAUGAGCUUAAAUUAAGAUGACUACUCCAAACGAUCCUGCCUGCACUGGACCACAUGUUCUGUAAUUCUUGAUCAAUAUUCACUGCAUUUUCCUGUUAAACAAAAUGGAGAGGACCAGUUUUUGAUGCCCGCCUCUCUUAAUUGCCUUCCUCCACAAAAGUACAACUAAAAUUUCAUGUCAUGUUAUCUUCCCUGCCCUCUGCAUUAAAAAAGAGGAAGAAGAGAUGUGGCUUUGGCUAUGAUGAUAAUGGAAGGAGAUCCUUCUGCAGAGUGUCUAUGGUGAGAGUGUGCCACUGUGAGCCUCCUCUCGGACCAUGGUACUGUCUGAUAUAUUGUCUACUCACAUUUGCUUUCAUGUCUCUGUUGUGGAAACAUCAUAUUCAAGUCAAAUACCUUUAAUGACAUGUAAAUAAACAAAAACAUAACAUCACAGCAUUCCAAUUAAUGCAAGUUAGAAAGACUUAAGAUUACACCAUUCAAAAAUUUGGCCACAGCUUCCAGCACCCCAUAGCAAUAGAAUAGAAUAGAAUCUUUAUUGGCCAAGUGUGAUUGGACACACAAGGAAAUUGUCUCCGGUGCAUAUGC